This 253-nucleotide ribosomal RNA is filed under the name uncultured bacterium. RNAcentral describes it as "partial 16S ribosomal RNA". It matches the Rfam family "Bacterial small subunit ribosomal RNA", at positions 524 to 776 of the family's 1533-position model. The record is from RNAcentral.
UACAGAGGUGGCAAGCGUUGUUCGGAAUUACUGGGCGUAAAGGGCGCGUAGGCGGCCUUCUCAGUCGGACGUGAAAUCCCCAGGCUUAACUUGGGAACUGCGUCCGAUACUGGAUGGCUUGAGUGCGGGAGAGGGAUGUGGAAUUCCAGGUGUAGCGGUGAAAUGCGUAGAUAUCUGGAGGAACACCGGAGGCGAAGGCGGUCCACUGGGUCCUUUCUGACGCUGAGGGACGAAAGCUAGGGGAGCGAACGGG